GCUAGGCAUGGUGGUGUAUGCCUGUAAUCCCAGCAGCUCGGGAGGCUGAGGCAGGAGAUCGUGAGUUCACAGCCAGCCUCAGCAACUAAGCAACUCAGUGAGACCCUGUCUCUA
RNAcentral lists this small RNA (114 nucleotides) under Marmota monax (woodchuck). Lineage: Eukaryota; Metazoa; Chordata; Mammalia; Rodentia; Sciuridae. The record is from RNAcentral.